GGUUAAGCGACUAAGCGUACACGGUGGAUGCCCUGGCAGUCAGAGGCGAUGAAGGACGUGCUAAUCUGCGAAAAGCGUCGGUAAGGUGAUAUGAACCGUUAUAACCGGCGAUGUCCGAAUGGGGAAACCCAGUGCAAUUCGUUGCACUAUCGUUAACUGAAUACAUAGGUUAACGAGGCGAACCGGGGAACUGAAACAUCUAAGUACCCCGAGGAAAAGAAAUCAACCGAGAUUCCCCCAGUAGCGGCGAGCGAACGGGGAGCAGCCCAGAGUCUGAAUCAGCUUGUGUGUUAGUGGAACGGUCUGGAAAGUCCGACGGUACAGGGUGAUAGUCCCGUACACCAAAAUGCACAGGCUGUGAACUCGAAGAGUAGGGCGGGACACGUGGUAUCCUGUCUGAAUAUGGGGGGACCAUCCUCCAAGGCUAAAUACUCCUGACUGACCGAUAGUGAACCAGUACCGUGAGGGAAAGGCGAAAAGAACCCCGGCGAGGGGAGUGAAAAAGAACCUGAAACCGUGUACGUACAAGCAGUGGGAGCACCUUCGGGUGUGACUGCGUACCUUUUGUAUAAUGGGUCAGCGACUUAUAUUCUGUAGCAAGGUUAACCGUAUAGGGGAGCCGCAGGGAAACCGAGUCUUAACUGGGCGUUAAGUUGCAGGGUAUAGACCCGAAACCCGGUGAUCUAGCCAUGGGCAGGUUGAAGGUUGGGUAACACUAACUGGAGGACCGAACCGACUAAUGUUGAAAAAUUAGCGGAUGACUUGUGGCUGGGGGUGAAAGGCCAAUCAAACCGGGAGAUAGCUGGUUCUCCCCGAAAGCUAUUUAGGUAGCGCCUCGUGAAUUCAUCUUCGGGGGUAGAGCACUGUUUCGGCUAGGGGUCAUCCCGACUUACCAACCCGAUGCAAACUACGAAUACCGAAGAAUGUUAUCACGGGAGACACACGGCGGGUGCUAACGUCCGUCGUGAAGAGGGAAACAACCCAGACCGCCAGCUAAGGUCCCAAAGUCAUGGUUAAGUGGGAAACGAUGUGGGAAGGCACAGACAGCCAGGAUGUUGGCUUAGAAGCAGCCAUCAUUUAAAGAAAGCGUAAUAGCUCACUGGUCGAGUCGGCCUGCGCGGAAGAUGUAACGGGGCUAAACCAUGCACCGAAGCUGCGGCAGCGACACUAUGUGUUGUUGGGUAGGGGAGCGUUCUGUAAGCCUGCGAAGGUGUGCUGUGAGGCAUGCUGGAGGUAUCAGAAGUGCGAAUGCUGACAUAAGUAACGAUAAAGCGGGUGAAAAGCCCGCUCGCCGGAAGACCAAGGGUUCCUGUCCAACGUUAAUCGGGGCAGGGUGAGUCGACCCCUAAGGCGAGGCCGAAAGGCGUAGUCGAUGGGAAACAGGUUAAUAUUCCUGUACUUGGUGUUACUGCGAAGGGGGACGGAGAAGGCUAUGUUAGCCGGGCGACGGUUGUCCCGGUUUAAGCAUGUAGGCUGGUUGUCCAGGCAAAUCCGGAUAAUCAAGGCUGAGGUGUGAUGACGAGGCACUACGGUGCUGAAGUAACAAAUGCCCUGCUUCCAGGAAAAGCCUCUAAGCAUCAGGUAACAUCAAAUCGUACCCCAAACCGACACAGGUGGUCAGGUAGAGAAUACCAAGGCGCUUGAGAGAACUCGGGUGAAGGAACUAGGCAAAAUGGUGCCGUAACUUCGGGAGAAGGCACGCUGGUGUGUAGGUGAAGCCCCUGCGGGUGGAGCUGAGACCAGUCGAAGAUACCAGCUGGCUGCAACUGUUUAUUAAAAACACAGCACUGUGCAAACACGAAAGUGGACGUAUACGGUGUGACGCCUGCCCGGUGCCGGAAGGUUAAUUGAUGGGGUUAUCCGUAAGGAGAAGCUCUUGAUCGAAGCCCCGGUAAACGGCGGCCGUAACUAUAACGGUCCUAAGGUAGCGAAAUUCCUUGUCGGGUAAGUUCCGACCUGCACGAAUGGCGUAAUGAUGGCCAGGCUGUCUCCACCCGAGACUCAGUGAAAUUGAACUCGCUGUGAAGAUGCAGUGUACCCGCGGCAAGACGGAAAGACCCCGUGAACCUUUACUAUAGCUUGACACUGAACAUUGAGCCUUGAUGUGUAGGAUAGGUGGGAGGCUUUGAAGCGUGGACGCCAGUCUGCGUGGAGCCAACCUUGAAAUACCACCCUUUAAUGUUUGAUGUUCUAACGUUGGCCCCUGACCGGGGUUGCGGACAGUGUCUGGUGGGUAGUUUGACUGGGGCGGUCUCCUCCCAAAGCGUAACGGAGGAGCACGAAGGUUAGCUAAUCCUGGUCGGACAUCAGGAGGUUAGUGCAAUGGCAUAAGCUAGCUUGACUGCGAGCGUGACGGCGCGAGCAGGUGCGAAAGCAGGUCAUAGUGAUCCGGUGGUUCUGAAUGGAAGGGCCAUCGCUCAACGGAUAAAAGGUACUCCGGGGAUAACAGGCUGAUACCGCCCAAGAGUUCAUAUCGACGGCGGUGUUUGGCACCUCGAUGUCGGCUCAUCACAUCCUGGGGCUGAAGUAGGUCCCAAGGGUAUGGCUGUUCGCCAUUUAAAGUGGUACGCGAGCUGGGUUUAGAACGUCGUGAGACAGUUCGGUCCCUAUCUGCCGUGGGCGCUGGAGAAUUGAGGGGGCUGCUCCUAGUACGAGAGGACCGGAGUGGACGCAUCACUGGUGUUCGGGUUGUCAUGCCAAUGGCACUGCCCGGUAGCUAAAUGCGGAAGAGAUAAGUGCUGAAAGCAUCUAAGCACGAAACUUGCCCCGAGAUGAGUUCUCCCUGAGACUUUAAGUCUCCUGAAGGAACGUUAAAGACGAUGACGUUGAUAGGCCGGGUGUGUAAGCGCAGCGAUGCGUUGAGCUAACCGGUACUAAUGAACCGUGAGGCUUAACCUU
Molecule: ribosomal RNA, 2898 nt
Filed under: Klebsiella pneumoniae
Lineage: Bacteria; Pseudomonadati; Pseudomonadota; Gammaproteobacteria; Enterobacterales; Enterobacteriaceae
Description: 23S ribosomal RNA
Rfam family: Bacterial large subunit ribosomal RNA
Source: RNAcentral